UUCCUGAUGUUUAGUCGGAAUCUCCUUUCUUGUAACUUGAAUCCAUUGGUUCGAGUCCUGCCCUCCAGAACAGAAGGAAGCAAGCCUGCUCCAUCUUCCAAGUGACAACCCUUAAGAUAUUUAAAGAUGGCUAUCAUAUCUUCUCUCUGUUCCCUCUUCUCCAAGCUAAACAUACCUAGCUCCUUCAACC
Non-coding RNA from Podarcis lilfordi (Lilford's wall lizard), 190 nucleotides. The record is from the annotation of a GenBank genome assembly. Lineage: Eukaryota; Metazoa; Chordata; Lepidosauria; Squamata; Lacertidae.